CAAUUAGUAUCUUAAAUAUAAAGAAUAGACUUUUUAAGUCUGAGAUAGUAUAAUUACUCUAAUUGA
Molecule: transfer RNA, 66 nt
Filed under: Diaphorencyrtus aligarhensis
Lineage: Eukaryota; Metazoa; Arthropoda; Insecta; Hymenoptera; Encyrtidae
Description: tRNA-Lys
Source: RNAcentral